RNAcentral lists this ribosomal RNA (415 nucleotides) under uncultured prokaryote. RNAcentral's name for it is "bacterial SSU rRNA". It matches the Rfam family "Bacterial small subunit ribosomal RNA", at positions 355 to 774 of the family's 1533-position model. The record is from RNAcentral.
UGAGGAAUUUUGCGCAAUGGGGGGAACCCUGACGCAGCAACGCCGCGUGGGUGAUGAAGGCCUUCGGGUCGUAAAGCCCUGUCGGGCGGGAAGAACGUCACUACGGGGAAUGACGGUACCGCCAGAGGAAGCACCGGCUAACUCCGUGCCAGCAGCCGCGGUAAUACGGAGGGUGCAAGCGUUAUUCGGAAUUACUGGGCGUAAAGGGCGUGCAGGCGGGAGAGCAAGUCUGAUGUGAAAGCCCGGGGCUUAACCCCGGAAGUGCAUUGGAAACUGCUGUUCUUGAGUUCUGGAGAGGAAGGGAGAAUUCCCGGUGUAGAGGUGAAAUUCGUAGAGAUCGGGAGGAACAUCAGUGGCGAAGGCGACCUUCCGGACAGCAACUGACGCUGGGACGCGAAAGCGUGGGGAGCAAACA